RNAcentral lists this ribosomal RNA (254 nucleotides) under uncultured bacterium. Its description in RNAcentral is "partial 16S ribosomal RNA". It matches the Rfam family "Bacterial small subunit ribosomal RNA", at positions 524 to 776 of the family's 1533-position model. The record is from RNAcentral.
UACGGGGGGGGGCAAGCGUUGUUCGGAAUUACUGGGCGGAAAGGGCUCGUAGGUGGCCAACUAAGUCAGACGUGAAAUCCCUCAGCUUAACUGGGGAACUGCGUCUGAUACUGGAUGGCUUGAGUUUGGGAGAGGGAUGCGGAAUUCCAGGUGUAGCGGUGAAAUGCGUAGAUAUCUGGAGGAACACCGGUGGCGAAGGCGGCAUCCUGGACCAACACUGACACUGAGGAGCGAAAGCCAGGGGAGCAAACGGG